RNAcentral lists this long non-coding RNA (329 nucleotides) under Saccoglossus kowalevskii. Its description in RNAcentral is "uncharacterized LOC102804632". The record is from RNAcentral. Lineage: Eukaryota; Metazoa; Hemichordata; Enteropneusta; Harrimaniidae.
AUAACUGUUUGCCUGCUUGCCUGCCAGCUUGUCUGCUUAAAUAUGAAAGCCAGAGCCGUCCUCGUCGUCGUAGUUGUUAUGAUAGUUUUGUUGCAAUGCUGCAGUCACACUGAAGGGUUUGGGGUCAGCGGCGGACCCCCUGGUCGUGGUCUUGUGGGCGUAAUCGUCGAUCCUGAUCAAUUGGAAGAUGUCUGUGCUGAUUUCGCUCCCGGAAAUGGAAAUGGAAAUGGAAAUAAUCUGUAAACUCAUAUUCUUAUAAUUCGAACUGUACGUUCUAGAUUGACAAUAGAGAAGAAAAUUAAUAAAUUAUAGCAGAAACGUUCAACACA